AUACCUUUCUCGGCCUUUUGGCUAAGAUCAAGUGUAGUAUCUGUUCUUAUCAGUUUAAUAUCUGAUACGUGGACCAUUGGUCCACAUGAUAUUAAAUUAAUUUUUUUAGGGGGGGCCCAUUCCAGUAGCUUGCUACUGGGGUCCUCGAGCGUCGCCCAUGCGUUGCACUACUGCAAGGGCCUGGCGCGCCCCAC
This 194-nucleotide small nuclear RNA is filed under the name Jatropha curcas. RNAcentral's name for it is "U2 spliceosomal RNA". It matches the Rfam family "U2 spliceosomal RNA". From Rfam's summary of the family: U2 is a small nuclear RNA (snRNA) component of the spliceosome (involved in pre-mRNA splicing). Lineage: Eukaryota; Viridiplantae; Streptophyta; Magnoliopsida; Malpighiales; Euphorbiaceae. The record is from Rfam by way of RNAcentral.